AGACGUCUACAUUAGAUACCCGCGUAGUCCCAGCCGUAAACUAUGCGCGUUAGGUGUAUCGGUGACCACGAGUCACCGAGGUGCCGAAGGGAAACCGUGAAACGUGCCGCCUGGGAAGUACGGUCGCAAGGCUGAAACUUAAAGGAGUUGGCGGGGAGCACCACAACGGGUGGAGCCUGCGGUUUAAUUGGACUCAACGCCGGGAAGCUCACCGGAUAAGACAGCGGAAUGAUUGCCGGGCUGAAGACUCUGCAUGACUAGCUG
This 264-nucleotide ribosomal RNA is filed under the name uncultured archaeon. RNAcentral's name for it is "partial 16S ribosomal RNA". It matches the Rfam family "Archaeal small subunit ribosomal RNA", at positions 717 to 982 of the family's 1478-position model. The record is from RNAcentral.